RNAcentral lists this ribosomal RNA (263 nucleotides) under Spiraea japonica. RNAcentral describes it as "4.5S ribosomal RNA". Lineage: Eukaryota; Viridiplantae; Streptophyta; Magnoliopsida; Rosales; Rosaceae. The record is from RNAcentral. RNAcentral also lists the same sequence under 2 other names.
GAAGGUCACGGCGAGACGAGCCGUUUAUCAUUACGAUAGGUGUCAAGUGGAAGUGCAGUGAUGUAUGCAGCUGAGGCAUCCUAACAGACCGGUAGACUUGAACCUUGUUCCUACAUGACCCGAUCAAUUCGAUCAGGCACUCGCCAUCUAUUUUCAUUGUUCAACUCUUUGACAACACGAAAAACCAUUGUUCAACUCUUUGACAACAUGAAAAACCAAAAGCUCUGCCCUCCCCUCUAUCUAUCCAAGGGAUGGAAGGGCAG